UACGUAGGGGGCAAGCGUUGUCCGGAAUCAUUGGGCGUAAAGCGCGCGUAGGCGGCCCGGUAAGUCCGUUGUGAAAGUCAAAGGCUCAACCUUUGAACGCCGAUGGAUACUGCCGGGCUAGAGUCCGGAAGAGGCGAGUGGAAUUCCUGGUGUAGCGGUGGAAUGCGCAGAUAUCAGGAGGAACACCAAUAGCGAAGGCAGCUCGCUGGGACGGUACUGACGCUGAGGCGCGAAAGCGUGGGGAGCGGACAGG
RNAcentral lists this ribosomal RNA (253 nucleotides) under uncultured bacterium. RNAcentral's name for it is "partial 16S ribosomal RNA". It matches the Rfam family "Bacterial small subunit ribosomal RNA", at positions 524 to 776 of the family's 1533-position model. The record is from RNAcentral.